RNAcentral lists this ribosomal RNA (481 nucleotides) under uncultured bacterium. Its description in RNAcentral is "partial 16S ribosomal RNA". It matches the Rfam family "Bacterial small subunit ribosomal RNA", at positions 28 to 507 of the family's 1533-position model. The record is from RNAcentral.
GAUGAACGCUGGCGGCGUGCCUAACACAUGCAAGUCGAACGGAGAUUCCGGACGGAAGUUUUCGGAUGGAAGCCUGUACUUCUUAGUGGCGGACGGGUGAGUAACGCGUGGGUUACCUGCCCUAUACAGGGGGAUAGCAGCUGGAAACGGCUGGUAAGACCGCAUAAGUCGGUUAAAUCGCAUGAUUUGCUCGGGAAAUGAGCAAGCAGGUAUAGGAUGGGGCUGCGUCCGAUUAGCCAGUCGGCAGGGUAAAAGCCUACCAAAGCGACGAUCGGUAGCCGGACUGAGAGGUCGGACGGCCACAUUGGGGCUGAGACACAGCCCAAACUCCUACGCGAGGGAGGAGUGGGUGAUAUUGCACAAUGGAGGAAGCUCUGAUGCAGCGACGCCGCGUGAGUGAAGAAGUAGUUCGGUAUGUGAAGCUCUAUCAGCAGGGGAGAUGAUGACGGUACCUGACGAAGAAGCCCCGGCUAACUACGUG